Molecule: ribosomal RNA, 497 nt
Filed under: uncultured bacterium
Lineage: Bacteria
Description: partial 16S ribosomal RNA
Rfam family: Bacterial small subunit ribosomal RNA
Source: RNAcentral
GAUGAACGCUGGCGGCGUGCCUAAUACAUGCAAGUCGAGCGAACAGACGAGGAGCUUGCUCCUCUGACGUUAGCGGCGGACGGGUGAGUAACACGUGGAUAACCUACCUCUAAGACUGGGAUAACUUCGGGAAACCGGAGCUAAUACCGGAUAAUAUAUUGAACCGCAUGGUUCAAUAGUGAAAGACGGUUUUGCUGUCACUUAUAGAUGGAUCCGCGCCGCAUUCGCUAGUUGGUAAGGUAACGGCUUACCAAGGCAACGAUGCGUAGCCGCCCUGAGAGGGAGAUCGGCCACACUGGAACUGAGACACGGUCCAGACUCCUACGGGGGGCAGCAGUAGGGAAUCUUCCGCAAUGGGCGAAAGCCUGACGGAGCAACGCCGCGUGAGUGAUGAAGGUCUUCUGAUCGUAAAACUCUGUUAUUAGGGAAGAACAAAUGUGUAAGUAACUAUGCACGUCUUGACGGUACCUAAUCAGAAAGCCACGGCUAACUACGUG